UAUCAGCCUUUUGGGUGUGAUUUUGUGGAGUGUGAAGAGUUAAACGCCUUCAUGCCUGCAUAUUCGUGCACUUUGGGUGUACUUGCCCGUGUGUAAGUUAACAUCAAUUUUGGUGGUCAUAAAAUGGCUGGAGGAAUGUAGCUUCGAUCUUGUAUUGAAGUGUUAUAGCCUUCGGUAGAUGUGAUGAUCGGGAUUGAGGAUUGCAACGGAUACCCUUCGGGGCUACCUGUCUGGUCUCUGAUCGUUGCUCUGGUGCCGAAAGCGUGCUUACGGUUGUCAAAGUCGAUGGUCAAUAGGUUAGAACGGGUUAAAUUCGUUAAGGAUGUUGACGUA
RNAcentral lists this ribosomal RNA (333 nucleotides) under uncultured Glomeromycotina. Its description in RNAcentral is "eukaryotic LSU rRNA". Lineage: Eukaryota; Fungi; Glomeromycota. The record is from RNAcentral.